GAGUAGCCGUUUUGGAGUUCUUCCAUAAAAAGCAAAGCUACAUUUGUAAAGAUUUUCCGAGUCUAUGAUGCGGUCACAUAGAUUAUUGGAUUUUUAGGUGUUUAUAAUAAACGGAUUUGGAUUAAACCCAAAUCACAGAAAAAACUCUAGCUUAAUCUAGAUCAUUGGAAAAAAAGAAUUGUCAUCACCGCCUGAUCAUCACCGUCGUUCAGGUCCUUUC
Molecule: long non-coding RNA, 220 nt
Filed under: Manihot esculenta (cassava)
Lineage: Eukaryota; Viridiplantae; Streptophyta; Magnoliopsida; Malpighiales; Euphorbiaceae
Description: long non-coding RNA (MESC_LNC002511)
Source: RNAcentral